RNAcentral lists this ribosomal RNA (253 nucleotides) under uncultured bacterium. RNAcentral's name for it is "partial 16S ribosomal RNA". It matches the Rfam family "Bacterial small subunit ribosomal RNA", at positions 524 to 776 of the family's 1533-position model. The record is from RNAcentral.
UACGAAGGGGGCGAGCGUUGUUCGGAAUUACUGGGCGUAAAGGGCGCGCAGGCGGCUCUGAAAGUCAGAUGUGAAAGCCCCGGGCUUAACCUGGGAACUGCAUUUGAUACUCUAGAGCUUGAGUACGGGAGAGGAGAGUGGAAUUCCCAGUGUAGAGGUGAAAUGCGCAGAUAUCGGGAGGAACACCUAUGGCGAAGGCAGCUCGCUGGGACGUUACUGACGCUGAGACGCGAAAGCGUGGGGAGCAAACAGG